Molecule: ribosomal RNA, 250 nt
Filed under: uncultured bacterium
Lineage: Bacteria
Description: partial 16S ribosomal RNA
Rfam family: Bacterial small subunit ribosomal RNA
Source: RNAcentral
UACGAACCGUACAAACGUUAUUCGGAAUCACUGGGCUUAAAGGGUGCGUAGGCGGCCAUGUAAGUGGGGUGUGAAAUCCCUCGGCUCAACCGAGGAACUGCGCUCCAUACUGCAUGGCUUGAGGGAGACAGGGGUAAGCGGAACUGAUGGUGGAGCGGUGAAAUGCGUUGAUAUCAUCAGGAACACCGGUGGCGAAAGCGGCUUACUGGGUCUCUUCUGACGCUGAGGUACGAAAGCUAGGGGAGCGAAC